RNAcentral lists this ribosomal RNA (707 nucleotides) under uncultured Ralstonia sp. RNAcentral's name for it is "bacterial SSU rRNA". It matches the Rfam family "Bacterial small subunit ribosomal RNA", at positions 67 to 763 of the family's 1533-position model. Lineage: Bacteria; Pseudomonadati; Pseudomonadota; Betaproteobacteria; Burkholderiales; Burkholderiaceae. The record is from RNAcentral.
CGGCAGCAUGAUCUAGCUUGCUAGAUUGAUGGCGAGUGGCGAACGGGUGAGUAAUACAUCGGAACGUGCCCUGUAGUGGGGGAUAACUAGUCGAAAGAUUAGCUAAUACCGCAUACGACCUGAGGGUGAAAGUGGGGGACCGCAAGGCCUCAUGCUAUAGGAGCGGCCGAUGUCUGAUUAGCUAGUUGGUGAGGUAAAGGCUCACCAAGGCGACGAUCAGUAGCUGGUCUGAGAGGACGAUCAGCCACACUGGGACUGAGACACGGCCCAGACUCCUACGGGAGGCAGCAGUGGGGAAUUUUGGACAAUGGGCGAAAGCCUGAUCCAGCAAUGCCGCGUGUGUGAAGAAGGCCUUCGGGUUGUAAAGCACUUUUGUCCGGAAAGAAAUGGCUCUGGUUAAUACCUGGGGUCGAUGACGGUACCGGAAGAAUAAGGACCGGCUAACUACGUGCCAGCAGCCGCGGUAAUACGUAGGGUCCAAGCGUUAAUCGGAAUUACUGGGCGUAAAGCGUGCGCAGGCGGUUGUGCAAGACCGAUGUGAAAUCCCCGAGCUUAACUUGGGAAUUGCAUUGGUGACUGCACGGCUAGAGUGUGUCAGAGGGGGGUAGAAUUCCACGUGUAGCAGUGAAAUGCGUAGAGAUGUGGAGGAAUACCGAUGGCGAAGGCAGCCCCCUGGGAUAACACUGACGCUCAUGCACGAAAGCGUG